AGAUUUCUGUCUCCGUUGGUGACCAGCGGAGGGUCAUUACCGAGUUUACAACUCCCAAACCCCUGUGAACAUACCUAUACGUUGCCUCGGCGGAUCAGCCCGCGCCCCGUAAAACGGGACGGCCCGCCCGAGGACCCCUAAACUCUGUUUUUAGUGGAACUUCUGAGUAAAACAAACAAAUAAAUCAAAACUUUCAACAACGGAUCUCUUGGUUCUGGCAUCGAUGAAGAACGCAGCAAAAUGCGAUAAGUAAUGUGAAUUGCAGAAUUCAGUGAAUCAUCGAAUCUUUGAACGCACAUUGCGCCCGCCAGUAUUCUGGCGGGCAUGCCUGUUCGAGCGUCAUUUCAACCCUCAAGCUCAGCUUGGUGUUGGGACUCGCGGUAACCCGCGUUCCCCAAAUCGAUUGGCGGUCACGUCGAGCUUCCAUAGCGUAGUAAUCAUACACCUCGUUACUGGUAAUCGUCGCGGCCACGCCGUUAAACCCCAACUUCUGAAUGUUGACCUCGGAUCAGGUAGGAAUACCCGCUGAACUUAAGCAUAUCAAUAAGCGGAGGAAGAUACCCGCUGAACUUAAGCAUAUCAAUAAGCGGAGGA
RNAcentral lists this ribosomal RNA (594 nucleotides) under Fusarium sp. E33. RNAcentral's name for it is "eukaryotic LSU rRNA". The stretch from base 189 to 342 matches the Rfam family "5.8S ribosomal RNA". RNAcentral also lists the same sequence under 1 other name. The record is from RNAcentral. Lineage: Eukaryota; Fungi; Ascomycota; Sordariomycetes; Hypocreales; Nectriaceae.